Xenia sp. Carnegie-2017 is the source of this 479-nucleotide long non-coding RNA. RefSeq lists it as uncharacterized. NCBI's taxonomy places the organism in Eukaryota, Metazoa, Cnidaria, Anthozoa, Malacalcyonacea, Xeniidae. The transcript is spliced from 2 exons. The record is from RefSeq and is a predicted model, not a curated record.
UUCAGCACAGAUUGAGAUUGUUGAUAGCAGAGGUUUUAGCUUGAGCUUCAAAACCAACAAUAUCAAUGAGAAGCAUGGCAUCUUUCACUGACUUAGUCGAAGAUGCUUUUACGAGGAAAGAUGAGACUUUUAUGGCUCAACUCUACGGAGAGAUGUUGGAUUGCCUGAAAGUCAACAGCAUUGUUACCAACGAUAAUUUGUUGGGAUCGUCUCGGUGUUGAUAUUUUCCGAAAUAUCAAUGCCGAAUUUUACACACCGCAGAGUGCCAAGACAAAGAACACAAAUUUGGUUGCCUUAAGCAUUUCAAGUUCUUCAAGUUCAGUUUUCAUUUGUUCCACGCUUGGCGAAGAAACAUGGUCACUCACAAGGCUUCGUGUAUCGACCUGGCCUUCAUUGAUAGAAAAUUUUCAUGAGUGGCCGCAGAACAUUCUUUUGAUUUUGUACAAGUUCUACUGAAUAAACACGUUCCUUAUGUUUUU